AUGAGGCACUUUUGUGCAAACUUCUAUAGGGCAUGUGGUAUCAAGGAGUUGGCCGAUGAUCUUCAAGAUUGUUGUCUCGCUUUCACCAACAAGCAGUUUGCCACAUUGUUCAAUGCAUUGCUCAGACACAAGAAACUUGACCCCGGUGGUCUUGAAUUUCUCAAUAAGAACAUUGUCGAAAGGAAUAUGUGGGCGCGUGCUUUCGAUGAAGAUGGCCGGAGGUACGGUCAAAUGACAAGCAAUAUGGCAGAAUGCUUCAAUAAGGUGCUCAAGGGUGUACGUGCAUUACCCGUGACGGCAAUAGUUCAAUACACAUUUGACAAGAUGAAUGGAUACUUUUUAAAGUACUCAAUGGAGACGGAUAAGCAGAUUGCUGGUGAGAACAAGGAUAAGCACAAGUACUAUUUCCCACCAAAGGUUGAAGAAUGGUUGGACUUUCAAUCACGAAAGGCAGACUCCCAAGAAGCUGUACUAUAUGACGACAACGAGUGGAAGUAUGAAGUGAAAGAGCCUGGAGGAACCACAAACGAUGGGCACCAACACGGAGGCCGCGCUUUCAAGGUCUCCCUAACACGGUGUGAUUGCAGCUGCAUGAGGCCAUCGUUGCUUCAUCUCCCAUGCUCGCACUUGUUAAAUGCAUCCCGUGUUAGGAAUGUGGACGUCAAUCACCCUCUUACCGUGAGGGAGUCCGAGUUCUCAAUCAUGACGGUAAAUAAUACAUGGGCUCCCCGGUUUCAGCCAUACUUGGACCAAUCACAAUGGCCGGAGUAUCAUGGAGUUCAACUAUGGCCGGACCCGGAAUUGAAGGUCGUUAGACGGGGAAGACGUAAGACAAAGCGUCUUAGAGGUGACAUGGACGGAUGGGGCCGUGGUGGCGGUGGAGAAUACGACACUGGCCAAUUCCAAGAGCCUCGUGAGCAAACCCGUUGUGGGGACUGCAGUCAUCGGGGACACAACACAAGAACUUGUCCCAAACCAAGAAAAAGAUCAAAGAAAAAUGAUGCAAGCACAAGCCAAGCAAAUGAUAGCCAACCAAGUCAACCAAGGAGUAGCCAACCAAGUCAAACAAGCCAACGAGGAACUAGGCAACAAAGAGGGAGUCAACUAGGUCUUAGAAGAGGCCGUUGUGGUGGUAGAGGCCGUGGUGGUGGUAGAGGCCGUGGUGAUGGCCUAGGCCGUGGUGAUGGCCUAGGCCGUGGUGAAGGCCUAGGCCGUGGUGAUGGUCUUGGCCGUGGUGAGGGUCUUGGCCGUGGUGGUGGGAGAGGCCGUGGUGAUGGUCUUGGCCGUGGUGGUGGUAGAGCCCGUGGUGGUGGUCUAGGCCGUGGUGGCGGUAGAGGCUGUGGUGGUGGUAGAGGCCGCGGUGGUGAUCUUGGCCUUGGCGGCGGCCGUGGUGGAGGAAUGUUCAGUUGGCUCAAUGGACCAUUGUCGUAUGGAAACAAUGAAGGGGGUGGAGGACACGGAGGGGGAAGUGAGCUCCCUUGGUGGUCGGAGGAGGGAGAAGAAGAAGAAGAAGAGAGGAAGAAGAAGGGACAAGGACCGUGA
This 1542-nucleotide ribosomal RNA is filed under the name Triticum aestivum (bread wheat). Its description in RNAcentral is "partial small subunit ribosomal RNA". The record is from RNAcentral. Lineage: Eukaryota; Viridiplantae; Streptophyta; Magnoliopsida; Poales; Poaceae.